Molecule: long non-coding RNA, 282 nt
Filed under: Salvia miltiorrhiza (redroot sage)
Lineage: Eukaryota; Viridiplantae; Streptophyta; Magnoliopsida; Lamiales; Lamiaceae
Description: long non-coding RNA (SMIL_LNC012673)
Source: RNAcentral
ACGCUGCAAAAUAUUUUUGGAUGCCAUUGCUGAGACAAAAAAUAAUUAAGAUCAAACUGUAACUACAGGAAACUGCAAAAAACCCUAACUCCUAUGCGCAGACAUGUAAAAUGCAUGCUUAGGGAAAGAAAAAAUGUUGUUCUUGGAGUUAAAAUCACCAAGACGAAAUUUUAAGAGAAGGUUAUACCUUUCCUGUGAAAAAUAUGGGGAGAAUGCCACCAACUACAUAGGAACGAGUGCAAUUUUGAGCCUUUGCAUUGAGAAUAAUGGCAUAUAAAUAGC